RNAcentral lists this transfer RNA (74 nucleotides) under Rhizobiales bacterium 65-9. RNAcentral's name for it is "tRNA-Cys". It matches the Rfam family "tRNA". Rfam says of the family: Transfer RNA (tRNA) molecules are approximately 80 nucleotides in length. Their secondary structure includes four short double-helical elements and three loops (D, anti-codon, and T loops). Further hydrogen bonds mediate the characteristic L-shaped molecular structure. tRNAs have two regions of fundamental functional importance: the anti-codon, which is responsible for specific mRNA codon recognition, and the 3' end, to which the tRNAs corresponding amino acid is attached (by aminoacyl-tRNA synthetases). tRNAs cope with the degeneracy of the genetic code in two manners: having more than one tRNA (with a specific anti-codon) for a particular amino acid; and 'wobble' base-pairing, i.e. permitting non-standard base-pairing at the 3rd anti-codon position. RNAcentral also lists the same sequence under 1 other name. Lineage: Bacteria; Pseudomonadati; Pseudomonadota; Alphaproteobacteria; Hyphomicrobiales. The record is from RNAcentral.
GGCCUCGUGGCGGAGUGGUUACGCAGAGGACUGCAAAUCCUUCUACGGGGGUUCGAUUCCCUCCGAGGCCUCCA